RNAcentral lists this non-coding RNA (112 nucleotides) under Syntrophothermus lipocalidus. RNAcentral describes it as "TPP sequence". It matches the Rfam family "TPP riboswitch aptamer (THI element)". Rfam says of the family: Vitamin B(1) in its active form thiamin pyrophosphate (TPP) is an essential coenzyme that is synthesised by coupling of pyrimidine and thiazole moieties in bacteria. The previously detected thiamin-regulatory element, thi box was extended, resulting in a new, highly conserved RNA secondary structure, the THI element, which is widely distributed in eubacteria and also occurs in some archaea. RNAcentral also lists the same sequence under 1 other name. Lineage: Bacteria; Bacillati; Bacillota; Clostridia; Eubacteriales; Syntrophomonadaceae. The record is from RNAcentral.
AACAGACGCUAGGGGAGCUCCUGGUAGCGGGGCUGAGAUACGGGCGGCAAGCCCGCGACCCUUUGCACCUGAUCUGGAUAAUACCAGCGUAGGGAAGCGUGCAGGUUUUGGU